UACGUAGGGUGCGAGCGUUAAUCGGAAUUACUGGGCGUAAAGCGUGCGCAGGCGGUCUGUUAAGACCGAUGUGAAAUCCCCGGGCUUAACCUGGGAACUGCAUUGGUGACUGGCAGGCUUUGAGUGUGGCAGAGGGAGGUAGAAUUCCACGUGUAGCAGUGAAAUGCGUAGAGAUGUGGAGGAAUACCGGUGGCGAAGGCAGCCUCCUGGGCCAACACUGACGCUCAUGCACGAAAGCGUGGGGAGCAAACAGG
This 254-nucleotide ribosomal RNA is filed under the name uncultured bacterium. Its description in RNAcentral is "partial 16S ribosomal RNA". It matches the Rfam family "Bacterial small subunit ribosomal RNA", at positions 524 to 776 of the family's 1533-position model. The record is from RNAcentral.